Non-coding RNA from Trichonephila inaurata madagascariensis, 77 nucleotides. NCBI's taxonomy places the organism in Eukaryota, Metazoa, Arthropoda, Arachnida, Araneae, Nephilidae. The record is from the annotation of a GenBank genome assembly.
AGCAGAAUUGUGGCGCAGUGGAAGAGGUGCUGGGCCCAUAACUCAGAGGUCCGUGGAUUCAAACCCACGCUCUGCUA